GACGAACGCUGGCGGCGUGCUUAACACAUGCAAGUCGAACGGAAAGGCCCUGCUUUUGUGGGGUGCUCGAGUGGCGAACGGGUGAGUAACACGUGAGUAACCUGCCCUUGACUUUGGGAUAACUUCAGGAAACUGGGGCUAAUACCGGAUAAGAGCUCCUGCUGCAUGGUGGGGGUUGGAAAGUUUCGGCGGUUGGGGAUGGACUCGCGGCUUAUCAGCUUGUUGGUGGGGUAGUGGCUUACCAAGGCUUUGACGGGUAGCCGGCCUGAGAGGGUGACCGGCCACAUUGGGACUGAGAUACGGCCCAGACUCCUACGGGAGGCAGCAGUGGGGAAUAUUGCACAAUGGGCGGAAGCCUGAUGCAGCAACGCCGCGUGCGGGAGGACGGCCUUCGGGUUGUAACCGCUUUCGCCUGUGACGAAGCGUGAGUGACGGUAAUGGGUAAAGAAGCACCGGCUAACCACGUG
This 467-nucleotide ribosomal RNA is filed under the name uncultured bacterium. Its description in RNAcentral is "partial 16S ribosomal RNA". It matches the Rfam family "Bacterial small subunit ribosomal RNA", at positions 28 to 507 of the family's 1533-position model. The record is from RNAcentral.